GAGGAAUUACAGCUAAUAGCACUGAUAAUAGUUCUGUAGCAAGGUAUGCGCUUCAGCACAACAGUAUAUACACAGAGACCGCAAGUAGAUCCGAAUGCGGAUUUUCUUUUCUAUCAGAAACCAGAAAAAUGAAAAAGAUUCAUAUCAUUGGGAUACAGAAAUUCCUAAGGUACAAAAUUGAUAAUGAUGUUUCAGCUAUUAUAAUCCAACACUGCAGAGAGAUGGAAGUCUUGUCGUAGUGACAAGACGUAGGCAAUUGGAACCACCAUCCAGCGCUUGGGAAUUCAUUGUUAGCUUCCAUAUCAUCAAAAUCUUGGAGCUCCACCAAUCGUUGCUUCAGGCAACCUUUCAAUAGAGUACUUGUGUUGAGUGAUGUACAUGAUUGGUACACCAGGGACCUUGCGUAUUCUACGUUUCAAAUCUCGAUCACAUGUUGCGACAAUAUAGCACUUGUGCUGUGUAACUCUCUCAACAAUACAAUCAUCGGCAUAUGUCCCUUUGUGAGUACAGGGAAGCCUUUCGAAUCGGGGAUCUUUUGCAAUUCUAAGAGCAACACGGUAUUUCUGACCCAGCUUCUCAAGCUCAGCCAUGACACAGUCUGUAAUGCAAGGAGUACAUUUGGCAUACAAGCAAUCCAUCAUCCCUUUCUCCAGGUCCAAUUUAUUCUGAAUAGAGAAAUUAAUAAAGUUAGUAUCAACUAAAACAAGAUACGGCGGCCCUAAAGCUGUGUUGUACUUGAAGAAGAGUGCAGAAGAAACAUAAGGCACGUUUCUUGGGAGCUUCUCUUUAGUUAAAUCUUUCUUAUUAGGGUUCAAAACUGCCUCUUUAUGCUCCUUGAUUGCUUUGUGAGUAACCAUUUUCUUCAUCACUGCAAAUUUGGGAGCCUUUUUUGCUUUCCCCAUUUUUGGUUCUCAAAAAUCUGAAACUGGACAAAGGGGUUCUGCAGUGCAAUUUCAAGAAUGUGCUCCAAUUCUCAAAACCCUAACGUGAUAUAGAGCGGGUCCGGG
RNAcentral lists this unclassified non-coding RNA (1007 nucleotides) under Hevea brasiliensis (rubber tree). Lineage: Eukaryota; Viridiplantae; Streptophyta; Magnoliopsida; Malpighiales; Euphorbiaceae. The record is from RNAcentral.